Long non-coding RNA from Alligator sinensis (Chinese alligator), 1344 nucleotides. RefSeq lists it as uncharacterized. The record is from RefSeq and is a predicted model, not a curated record. NCBI's taxonomy places the organism in Eukaryota, Metazoa, Chordata, Crocodylia, Alligatoridae. The transcript has 3 exons.
GGCCUGGCGCAGGUCGUGGAAGGAGCGGCGCUGCUCCAGCUCGCGGAUCCUCUCCUCCUUCAGCAGCAGCAGCUUAGCAAAGUCGCCCUCCAGCUCGCUCAUGGUGCCGGGCUGCUCAUGUGUGUGGUAUAGCAGCCUAGCUGGUUGUACCGGAACGGCCUGGUCACGAGCGCUGCUACUUGGAUGCCCUCGGACACCAGAAUCACAACAAGAUACCGAGCUUCAGAGGCAGGGCUGGAAUUGGUGUGCCCUGUUUUGCUCGCCAGCCAAAAGACGACCAACGUGAAGGUGUUAAGUGCAAGAUGCUACUGAUGACUUGAGCUGCCUGCUGACCACCUCCAAUGGUGCCGCAACCUCAACCAAGCAGCUGCCCAUUUUAAGGUAAAGCAUCUUGCCCCUGAAGCAGAGAAGAGCAAGCAGAGGAAGGAAAAAGAGAGAAAUCCUGGCCAACAGCCUACCCUCCUUUGCAGAAAGGCCUGCAACUUCUGCAGACAGGUCUGUGGCUCAAGAAUUGGAUUCUUAAGGCACUUCAAGACCCAUCAAUAGUAGAAAUCAUCCUCAAAUCAAGGGAUGGCUGAUGAGACCGUGUUCCAUCCUUUUCACUCACGCCAGCUGAUACAAAGGAGUGCUGAGAACUGUUGUGACAGUUUCCAGUGCCCUUUAAACAUUAUUGAUAGUAGAUCGGGGUGGGCAAAAUGCAGCCCACAAGGCCAUUCUAUCUGGCCUGCAAGGCCUCUAAAAAAAUUUAGAAAAUUAAUAUUUAUUCGCCCCUGGCUGCCUAUCAUGCAGCACUAGAUGGCUUGCCAAAACUCAGUAAGCGGCCCUCUGCCCAAAAUAACUGCCUGCCACUGUAGUAGAUACUGUUUGCCACUUGAAAAAAAUAGAGGAUGCCUCAAAUACAGCACCAAAAAGGAUAAGCAUGGUUUCACCUUUCAGAAAUACACACUUAAAUGAAAUUGCUUAAAAAUUCAUCAAGCACUGACAGGGCUCCAGUGAUGUAAUUGUAUGGAAGAGGUGGGGAGUAGAUAGAUUUAUCUAUGUUCUCAGCUGAAGUAUCUAUGAAACAAUACAUUUUGCCAACUCUUAUUCUGAAAGUGUCUCUUGAUGAUUUAUCAGUUUACUACUGAAAUUUACAAACAACAUUACUCCUCCUUCCCCCACACACUUGUCCCGUCUAAACGGGGUCACUGCUGUGGAUCCUGGCAGUCUGCCGGCUUCGAUCACAUGCAUCUAUGAAUAACAUUACUAUUGAAUCAAAUUACACCUUACAUCCCCACCUAAAAUUGGAGUAUCUAUAUUGUAAUACAAGUUGUUGUUGAAUAAUUUCUACUUAAUAAAGCUACU